RNAcentral lists this transfer RNA (73 nucleotides) under Actinotalea sp. Its description in RNAcentral is "tRNA-Arg". It matches the Rfam family "tRNA". Rfam says of the family: Transfer RNA (tRNA) molecules are approximately 80 nucleotides in length. Their secondary structure includes four short double-helical elements and three loops (D, anti-codon, and T loops). RNAcentral also lists the same sequence under 4 other names. Lineage: Bacteria; Bacillati; Actinomycetota; Actinomycetes; Micrococcales; Cellulomonadaceae. The record is from RNAcentral.
GCCCGCGUAGCUCAGGGGAUAGAGCGUCUGCCUCCGGAGCAGAAGGUCGUAGGUUCGAAUCCUAUCGCGGGCA